Molecule: long non-coding RNA, 2752 nt
Organism: Pteropus alecto (black flying fox)
Lineage: Eukaryota; Metazoa; Chordata; Mammalia; Chiroptera; Pteropodidae
Exons: 3
Source: RefSeq, a predicted model, not a curated record
AGUGUGACAAGCAUGUACGUACACGAAUCUCAGUGGCAUGAAAGCAGAGUCAGAAUUCCCACCUUCCUUGGCUCAAAGGAAACACAAAGCAUAACAUUCUGACCUGUCUACUCUUGGAAUGGCCCGAAGAGCUGUAAGAAGUAAAUCUAUGCCAGAGCAUCUCUCCGUUUUAUUACUUAUCAGUUUUUUACACCAAAAUAAGUUGGAGAUUCCUUGAAGUUGUUUAAUUCUCCCAUAAUUGUUCAGGGCAGCCAUUCCAGUUUGAUGGCCUGAUCCUUCCAUCUUCUGGCUCCACCAAUUCCAAGGCCUUGCUGUCCUCUGCAUCAAGCCUGAAGAAGGGGACAGAGCAUGGAGGAGGUAUGUCUGCUUCUUAAAGGCUUCGGCCCUGGAAGUGGCAUGCCUCACUUCUGCUUACAUUCCUGCAAGAGCAUAUCACAACUGAUGGGAAGAGUGGGGCUUGGCAACUGUGCUCUGCUGUGUAGAGCAAGUGUUUGGACAAGUUAAAUAAUUACAACCCCACAGUCAGGAGCACAUUUAACUCAGUUAACUCAGACUGAGGGACAGAUCAAGAAAGGCUUUGGGGAAGAGGUGGCAUUUGAACUGUGUCUUGAAGAGUGUAAGCUAAUCAAGUUUUGAAAAAGGACAAGAUUUUAGGCAGAGAAAACAUGCAAAAGGGAAGGAAAUGUGAAAGAAUAUGGUCUGUUGGGGGACAAAAGUAGUGCAAUGUAUUUUGGAGCCAUGAUAAGCCAAAAGAUUUGGCUAACAAGCCUUUAGAUUUGAAGGAAAAAUUAUGUAUUUAAGAGAUUUUUACAGUAUAGAAUCCACAAGGUUUGGGGUGAGAUGCGACCUAAAUGAUGAGAAAUAGCCAGGUCAGUGAACUUCUGGGAUCACCACAUGCCAGGCAGAGGGAAUAGGAAGUGCAAGGGCCUCAGAUGGAAAUGGGGUUGGUGUGUUCAAAGAAAACAUAGGCUUAUGGGAGGAGAUGAGGUCUGAGAUGAGGCAGUGAGAGGCCUCAUCAUGCAGGGCCUUUUAAACUGUGGUGGAAAUUUUGGAUUUUAUUCUAAGUCCAGUGGAAAGUUAGACGAUUUUAAGCAGGAGAGUGACAUCAUUCUGCAAUAAGACUAGAUUAAGGACACAUAAGAUUUAUUCAAUCACAACAAGUAUAUUCUGACUCCACUUCCCUGAAUAUUACAUUUUCUAAAUGGUACAUGCCAAUGUAGUGUACUCAUAUGGAACUCAUUAUUUUAGAGUGAAAUUGAGAUGUUUAUUUGAAUUAAUACUCUCAAUUGUCUCAUGGUGAGAAAAACAAGUUCAUAUGCAACAGGAAUAGAGAAAGACAACAGGUAUAGAGAGAGAAGGGAAUGGGAAAAAACAAUGCCAAAUGUUGCUCAUCUUAGUUUUUUAAAAAUGAACAUUUGGGGUAUGGUUUUGUAAAAGCUGAGCCAAGAUUCAGUGUUGGGGGAGGUCCCCACAGAAAGUUUUCCUCUCAUGUAAGUAAGAUAAUGGCAUCAUUUCCCCCGAAUGCUGUGCCCUGAUCCUCUUGGAGUCUAUGAAAGGUGCUGGCCCAACAACCCCAUGCAGAGGAUUCUGGGAAGCGUUCAAGAGAAGUUCAAGAAAAUUGUAAAUUAGAAAACUACUUCUAAAUAAGAAUCUGGUACAUAUUAAUCUGAAAAUGUACUUUUCAAAAAUGCCUUCAUUCGACCAAAGGAAUGGUUUUAGGAAAAGGGAAAGUCUCAGAACAAACUUUGACACAGUUUCCUGUAGGAUGGGAUAUGAGGCAUUUCUGAGAGGGUUUCCUAUUCAAAAUGACUCCCCAUAACCCAUCACUAACCCCAGAAACUUUCCAAAGUGCUUGGUACUAAAAUGUCCUUUCUGAUGUUUGGGGCAAGACUUUUAUCUCUUAGAGGACAGUGAAAAUGCGUGUACCCUGAUAGGGCAGAUGCAUUAAAAACCGAAAGACAAGUGUCCCAUCUGUACACAGAAGGUGCUCCUCCUCCUAACCCACAAUUCAGGCCUCCUGCUCUACUUUCCUUUCCCCAUCCUCAGCAGGCAUUGCUUCAUAAUUAAAACAAACAAACAAACGAACAAACAAGGCUAUAGGAUGUGAACUUCUUGAUUUUCUACUCUCGUAUCUACACGUUUAUCUCCCUCUGACCGUUUUCUGGGAAUUAGUUCCCUCCAGUCACUGAAGCUGAUUCAAGUCUCCUUCCAUAACUGUACUCUUGGUUCUGUUUCCUCUUGUACUAAUUCCUUAAUUGUUUGCUUCCUUCAAAAAUAUUUUAUUGAGCUCCUACUAUGUGCAGGCCAUCGGGCUUGAUGUUGGGAAUAUAGCUGUGAUAAUUAAGAUGGUCAAGGUGGAGCUUCCAUUCUAUCAAAAAGAAUCUUCCUCAUUGGAUUUUCAAUCUCUUUUGAGUGGCUCUAUCUCUACAACCUAAAACCACAUCCAAUUCUCUACCUAUUAAAAAAAAAUAGAAAAAGAUGGAAAGUCUCAACUGUAUGUUCCCUUCUUCAUACUACUUAUCUCUUCCCUUGUCAAAUGAGAAAACCUAUUACAGUGUUUCUAAAAUGAGUUCACAUGAACUAUUUUUAAAGAACCUUGAUCAAUAUCUUGCACUCUAUACACAAAUAAACUCUAAAUGGGAUAUAGACCUAAUCAUAAAACUUAAAACUAUAAAACUUCAUUGGAAAACAUGGAAGAAAAUCUUUGUGACCUUGGGAUAUGUUACCAAAAUAUGAGCCAUAAAAGAAAAAA